This 19-nucleotide small RNA is filed under the name Arabidopsis thaliana (thale cress). RNAcentral describes it as "ATSL070480". Lineage: Eukaryota; Viridiplantae; Streptophyta; Magnoliopsida; Brassicales; Brassicaceae. The record is from RNAcentral.
AAAAAUAGAAAAAUAAAAC